CCCGCCAAUUCCUUUAAGUUUCUCUGGUUGAUCCUGCCGGACCCGACUGCUAUCGGAUUGAGACUAAGCCAUGCGAGUCAACCCGCAAGGGUGGCGGACGGCUCAGUAACACGUAGUGAACCUGCCCUGGGGACGUGGACAACCAUGGGAAACUGUGGCUAAACCGCGAUAGGUCAUUGUUUCUGGAAUGGGCAAUGGCUCAAACCUACAUGGCCCCAGGAUGGCACUGCGGCCGAUCAGGUUGUUGGUGAGGUAAUGGCCCACCAAGCCUGUAACCGGUACGGGCUCUGAGAGGAGGAGCCUGGAGAUGGGCACUGAGACAAGGGCCCAGGUCCUACGGGAUGCAGCAGGCGCGAAACCUUUGCCAUGCGCGAAAGCGUGACAGGGGAACUCCGAGUGGUAGAGGGGUUUACCUCUCUAUCUUUUGCCAAUCUAAACAAUUGGCAGAAUAAGAUCUGGGUAAGACCAGUGCCAGCCGCCAUGCUAUGCAAUCGCACAGCAUUGGCACGGUACGCGGUAAUACUGGCAGAGCGAGUGGUACCCACGAAUAUUGGGCCUAAAGAGUCCGUAGCGGGCCGACUAAGUCCACUGUGAAAUCGGGCGGCUCCAACCGUCCGGCGUGCAGUGGAUACUGAUCGGCUUGGGAGCGGGGGAGGUCGGGAGUACUUGCGGGGUAACGGUAAAAUGUUGUAAUCCUGCAAGGACUACCAGUGGCGAAGGCGCCCGACCAAAACGCGUCCGACCGUGAGGGACGAAGGCUAGGAGAACGAAUCGGAUUAGAUAC
RNAcentral lists this ribosomal RNA (784 nucleotides) under uncultured archaeon. RNAcentral describes it as "bacterial SSU rRNA". It matches the Rfam family "Archaeal small subunit ribosomal RNA", at positions 1 to 736 of the family's 1478-position model. The record is from RNAcentral.